RNAcentral lists this ribosomal RNA (463 nucleotides) under uncultured bacterium. RNAcentral describes it as "partial 16S ribosomal RNA". It matches the Rfam family "Bacterial small subunit ribosomal RNA", at positions 28 to 507 of the family's 1533-position model. The record is from RNAcentral.
GACGAACGCUGGCGGCGUGCUUAACACAUGCAAGUCGAACGGUGAACCUCUUCGGAGGGGAUCAGUGGCGAACGGGUGAGUAACACGUGGGCAACCUGACCCCGGCUCUGGGAUAACUAUAAGUACUUGGGGCUAAUACCGGAUGUUCACAGCUUCCCGCAUGGGUGGUGGUGAAAAGGGUGGGCGGCUGGGGAUGGGCGCGCGGCCUAUCAGAUUGUUGGUGGGGUAGUGGCUUACCAAGGCGAUGACGGGUAGCCGGCCUGAGAGGGUGACCGGCCACAUUGGGACUGAGAUACGGCCCAGACUCCUACGGGAGGCAGCAGUGGGGAAUAUUGCGCAAUGGGCGGAAGCCUGACGCAGCAACGCCGCGUGGGGGAUGACGGCCUUCGGGUUGUAAACCGCUUUCGGCAGGGACGAAGCGCAAGUGACGGUACCUGCAGAAGAAGCACCGGCCAACUACGCG